RNAcentral lists this ribosomal RNA (301 nucleotides) under uncultured bacterium. Its description in RNAcentral is "partial 16S ribosomal RNA". It matches the Rfam family "Bacterial small subunit ribosomal RNA", at positions 509 to 807 of the family's 1533-position model. The record is from RNAcentral.
CAGCAGCCGCGGGAAUACCGAGGGUGCGAGCGUUAAUCGGAUUUACUGGGCGUAAAGCGUGCGUAGGCGGCUUCUUAAGUCGGAUGUUAAAUCCCUGAGCUUAACUUAGGAAUUGCAUUCGAUACUGGGAAGCUAGAGUAUGGGAGAGGAUGGUAGAAUUCCAGGUGUAGCGGUGAAAUGCGUAGAGAUCUGGAGGAAUACCGAUGGCUAAGGCAGCCAUCUGGCCUAAUACUGACGCUGAGGUACGAAAGCAUGGGGAGCAAACAGGAUUAGAUACCCCAGUAGUCCCUGUCUCUUAUAC